This 454-nucleotide ribosomal RNA is filed under the name uncultured bacterium. Its description in RNAcentral is "bacterial SSU rRNA". It matches the Rfam family "Bacterial small subunit ribosomal RNA", at positions 340 to 786 of the family's 1533-position model. The record is from RNAcentral.
UACGGAAGGCAGCAGUGGGGAAUAUUGCACAAUGGGCGAAAGCCUGAUGCAGCUAUGCCGCGUGUAUGAAGAAGGCCUUAGGGUUGUAAAGUACUUUCAUCGGGGAGGAAAAACAAAACUAAUAAUUUUAUUUCUUGACGUUACCCGAAAAAGAAGCACCGGCUAACUCCGUGCCAGCAGCCGCGGUAAUACGGAGGGUGCUAGCGUUAAUCAGAAUUACUGGGCGUAAAGAGCACGUAGGUGGUUUUUUUAAGUCAGAUGUGAAAUCCCUGGGCUUAACCUAGGAACUGCAUUUGAAACUGAAAUACUAGAGUAUCGUAGAGGGAGGUAGAAUUCUAGGUGUAGCGGUGAAAUGCGUAGAUAUCUGGAGGAAUACCUGUGGCGAAAGCGGCCUCCUAAACGAAUACUGACACUGAGGUGCGAAAGCGUGGGGAGCAAACAGGGAUUAGAUACC